CUCAAGGUAGUAAAAUUAAUACGUUGGAGUUAAGUUCCUAAGAUAAAGCGGAAGUUUUUCUUGAGA
Molecule: transfer RNA, 66 nt
Filed under: Macoma balthica
Lineage: Eukaryota; Metazoa; Mollusca; Bivalvia; Cardiida; Tellinidae
Source: RNAcentral